CCUACGGGAGGUAGCAGUGAGGAAUAUUGGUCAAUGGGCGUAAGCCUGAACCAGCCAAGUCGCGUGAGGGAUGAAGGUUCUAUGGAUCGUAAACCUCUUUUAUAAGGGAAUAAAGUGUGGGACGUGUCCUGUUUUGUAUGUACCUUAUGAAUAAGGAUCGGCUAACUCCGGGCCAGCAGCCGCGGUAAUACGGAGGAUCCGAGCGUUUUCCGGAUUUAUUGGGUUUAAAGGGUGCGUAGGCGGCCUUUUAAGUCAGCGGUGAAAGUCUGUGGCUCAACCAUAGAAUUGCCGUUGAAACUGGGAGGCUUGAGUAUGUUUGAGGCAGGCGGAAUGCGUGGUGUAGCGGUGAAAUGCUUAGAUAUCACGCAGAACCCCGAUUGCGAAGGCAGCCUGCCAGGCCAUGACUGACGCUGAUGCACGAAAGCGUGGGGAUCAAACAGGAUUAGAUACCCUUGUAGUC
This 460-nucleotide ribosomal RNA is filed under the name uncultured bacterium. RNAcentral's name for it is "partial 16S ribosomal RNA". It matches the Rfam family "Bacterial small subunit ribosomal RNA", at positions 338 to 795 of the family's 1533-position model. The record is from RNAcentral.